Molecule: long non-coding RNA, 2280 nt
Filed under: Xyrichtys novacula (pearly razorfish)
Lineage: Eukaryota; Metazoa; Chordata; Actinopteri; Labriformes; Labridae
Source: RNAcentral
GGCCAUUAAAAGUUGUACAAAUCAUGACGCUGCACCCCACGGUUUAUGUUCUAGGGGGCGCCAAAAAUAACCCAAAAAUCCACAUUCUUAAAAGUCUUAUAACUUUUUAUUUUUGUCCUCACUGGCCUCCAAGUUUUCUAGGAUGAUGCUAUGUCCAGCCAUCAACACAUUUGUGAAGGAAUUUUUACUCCCCAAAAGAGCGCCCCCACAUGGCAGGAGAAAAAAGUCCAUUUUUUCUUGUCCCCUAAGGUGAAAAUACACAUUGUUGAGUGUCACACCUAUACGCUUUGUCAUAUUGACCCAAAAUUUGACAAUCACGUGUAUCUCAAUAAGAUCUACGAAAAAGUCAAUGGGCACGUAUCUGUAAAAUGUACGGUUAAAGGGUUAUUUCGCAUUUUUUCCCGAUCCGCACACAUUGGAAUUUCGCUAACUCCUCCGAAGGCUUUAGUUCCACCGCCACCAAAUUUGCUCAGGCCAAUCUACACCCCAUGGCCAUUAAAAGUUGUACAAAUCAUGACGCUGCACUCCACGGUUUAGGUUCUAGGGGGCGCCAAAGAUAACCCAAAAAUCCACAUUCUUAAUAGUCUUAUAACUUUUUAUUUUUGUCCUCACUGGCCUCCAAGUUUUCUAGGAUGAUGCAAUGUCCAGCCAUCAACACAUUUGUGAAGGAAUUUUUACUCCCGAAAAGAGCGCCCCCCAUGGCAGGAGAAAAAAGUCCAUUUUUUCUUGUCCCCUAAGGUGAAAAAACACAUUGUUGACUGUCACGCCUAUACGCUUUGUCAAAAUGACACAAAAUUUGACACACACGUGUAUCUCAAUAAGAUCUACGAAAAAGUCAAUGGGCACGUAUCUGUAAAACGUACGGUUAAAGGGCUAUUUCGCAUUUUUUGCCGAUUCGCACACAUUGGAAUGUGGCUAACUCCUCCUAAGGCUUUCUUCCCACCAACACCAAAUUUGCUCAAGCCGAUCUACAUCACAUGGCCAUUCAAAGUUGUAAAAAUCAUGCCGCUGCACCCCAUGGUUUACGUUCUAGGGGGCGCCAAAGAUGACCCAAAUAUCCACAUUCUUAAAAGAAUCCACCCCCCCCCCCCCCCCAAGGCAGGAGAAAAAGUCCAGUUAACCCUGCCCAUCGCUCAAUGGCUCAAUCGCAUCGCUCUCCUGGCAACACCGUAAGGAGGAGCAACUUGCCAUUUGGAUAUAUCCUAGCUGUGUUUGUGCCCUCACUCAUGGUCCAGACUUUUUUCAAAUAGGACAUGUAGUUUGUCUGCAGCGACCGUUUUGGUAGAAACUGCACCUCCCAUUCAUUAUAAUGGGAAAUGACCACAGACAAGUGCGCACACCAUCUUUGGACCUUGAGUGUGAUGCGAUCGUGAGGGGGAGGCGGUCGCGCUGGGGGCGGCGCGACGCGGCUCGGGCCCGACAGUGCCCCACCGGGGCCCUAGUUAUUAUUUUUCUGCCCCUUUGAACUGGAAAAUGGCCCACUUCCCACUGGUGAAAAGUCAUGAAAUUUGGCAGGACGACCGGGCCUGGUGAAAAAUUCGAUAUUCUGAAGUCGCCCAAAAAAUCAAAUGCAAAAUGGCUCCAUAGCGCCCCCUAAGGUGAAAAAUUCACAUGAUUGAGUGUCACGCCUGUACGCUUUGUCAAAAUGACACAAAAUUUGACACACACGUGUAUCUCAAUAAGAUCUACAAAAAAGUCAGUGCGGGCGUAUCUGUCAAAUGUACGGUUAAAGGGCUAUUUCGCAUUUUUUGCCGAUCCGCACACAUUGGAAUUUCGCUAACUCCUCCGAAGGCUUUCGUUCCACCGGCACCAAAUUUGCUCAGGCCAAUCUACACCCCAUGGCCAUUAAAAGUUGUACAAAUCAUGACGCUGCAUCCCACGGUUUACGUUCUAGGGGGCGCCAAAGAUAACCCAGAAAUCCACAUUCUUAAAAGUCGUAUAACUUUUUAUUUUUGUCCUCACUGGCCUCCAAGUUUUCUAGGAUGAUGCAAUGUCCAGCCAUCAACACAUUUGUGAAGGAAUUUUUACUCCCCAAAAGAGCGCCCCCCAUGGCAGGAGAAAAAAGUCCAUUUUUUCUUGUCUCCUAAGGCGAAAAUUCACACUAUUGACUGUCACGCCUUUACGCUUUGUCAUAUUGACACAAAAAUUGACACACACAUGUAUCUCAAUAAGAUCUACAAAAAAGUCAGUGCGGGCGUAUCUGUCAAAUGUACGGUGAAAGGGCUAUUUCGCAUUUUUUGCCGAUCCGCACACAUUGGAAUUUCGUUAACUCCUCCGAAG